GGGGGUGACCAGGUCUCGACAGGGCAAGUCGGAACUUCGGUUGCGUGCCGGGGAUGAUCGUUGGCCCCGUUAAAUAUCGAUCAAAAACUAACUGCGAAACCUAAUUUCGCCUACGCGGCCUAAGUUAUUCCGCGUCGCUGAAGCACCGAUGUCUGCUGAGUGUGGAAGCGUCGAUUAGCAGAUCCUGCUGUGAACCGGACCCUCGGGGACACAACCUUGUAUCAUCAUGAAGGUAAGUCGUUUGUCAGCCUGCCAAUCGGCGUGCAGACGAUAAGAUAAUAGAUUGGCUACGCACGUAGACAUCGCUGUGAAGCUGUCUUGGACGCGGGUUCAACUCCCGCCACCUCCACCA
Molecule: transfer-messenger RNA, 352 nt
Filed under: bacterium
Lineage: Bacteria
Rfam family: transfer-messenger RNA
About the family: Bacterial tmRNA, also known as 10Sa RNA or SsrA, is named for its dual tRNA and mRNA-like properties. Its role is to liberate the mRNA from a stalled ribosome.
Source: RNAcentral